Molecule: ribosomal RNA, 253 nt
Filed under: uncultured bacterium
Lineage: Bacteria
Description: partial 16S ribosomal RNA
Rfam family: Bacterial small subunit ribosomal RNA
Source: RNAcentral
UACGUAGGGAGCAAGCGUUGUCCGGAAUCAUUGGGCGUAAAGCGCGCGUAGGCGGCUCGAUCAGUCUGUUGUGAAAGUCAAAGGCUCAACCUUUGAAUGCCGAUGGAUACUGUCGAGCUAGAGUCCGGAAGAGGCGAGUGGAAUUCCUGGUGUAGCGGUGGAAUGCGCAGAUAUCAGGAGGAACACCAGUGGCGAAGGCGGUUGCCUGGGGCUUUGCUGACGCUGAGGCGCGAAAGCGUGGGGAGCGAUCCGG